CAGCAGCCGCGGUAAAACGUAGGUGGCAAGCGUUGUCCGGAAUUAUUGGGCGUAAAGGGCUCGCAGGCGGUUUCUUAAGUCUGAUGUGAAAGCCCCCGGCUCAACCUGGGAGGGUCAUUGGAAACUGGGAAACUUGAGUGCAGAAGAGGGGAGUGGAAUUCCACGUGUAGCGGUGAAAUGCGUAGAGAUGUGGAGGAACACCAGUGGCGAAGGCGACUCUCUGGUCUGUAACUGACGCUGAGGAGCGAAAGCGUGGGGAGCGAACAGGAUUAGAUACCCCCGUAGUCCCUGUCUCUUAUAC
Molecule: ribosomal RNA, 301 nt
Filed under: uncultured bacterium
Lineage: Bacteria
Description: partial 16S ribosomal RNA
Rfam family: Bacterial small subunit ribosomal RNA
Source: RNAcentral